RNAcentral lists this ribosomal RNA (253 nucleotides) under uncultured bacterium. RNAcentral describes it as "partial 16S ribosomal RNA". It matches the Rfam family "Bacterial small subunit ribosomal RNA", at positions 524 to 776 of the family's 1533-position model. The record is from RNAcentral.
UACGGAGGGUGCAAGCGUUAAUCGGAAUUACUGGGCGUAAAGCAUGCGUAGGCGGCCUGUUAAGUCAGAUGUGAAAGCCCCGGGCUCAACCUGGGAACGGCAUUUGAAACUGGCAGGCUAGAGUUAGGUAGGGGGGAGCGGAAAUUCAGGUGUAGCGGUGAAACGCGUAGAUAUCUGAAGGAACACCAGUGACGAAGGCGGCUCCCUGGACCCAAACUGACGCUGAGGUACGAAAGCGUGGGUAGCAAACAGG